AUUGAACGCUGGCGGCAGGCCUAACACAUGCAAGUCGAGCGGAGCGGGCGACGGGUGAGUAAGUCCUGUAAAUCUACCUGGCCGUGGGGGAUGACGUACGGAUACGGACGGUAGUACCGCAUACUCGCAGAUGAGCCUAGGGCGGUUUAGCUAGUUGGUGGGGUAAAGGCCUACCAAGGCGACGAUCCGUACCUGGUCUGAGAGGAUGAUCAGUCACACUGGAACUGAGACACGGUCCAGACUCCUACGGGAGGCAGCAGUGGGGAAUAUUGGACAAUGGGCGAAAGCCUGAUCCAGCCAUGCCGCGUGUGUGAAGAAGGUCUUCGGAUUGUAAAGCACUUUAAGUUGGGAGGCGGUACCAGCAGAAUAAGCACCGGCUAACUACGUGCCAGCAGCCGCGGUAAUUC
RNAcentral lists this ribosomal RNA (407 nucleotides) under uncultured bacterium. Its description in RNAcentral is "partial 16S ribosomal RNA". It matches the Rfam family "Bacterial small subunit ribosomal RNA", at positions 30 to 526 of the family's 1533-position model. The record is from RNAcentral.